Molecule: ribosomal RNA, 492 nt
Filed under: uncultured bacterium
Lineage: Bacteria
Description: partial 16S ribosomal RNA
Rfam family: Bacterial small subunit ribosomal RNA
Source: RNAcentral
AGUGAACGCUGGCGGUAGGCCUAACACAUGCAAGUCGAACGGCAGCACAGUAAGAGCUUGUUCUUACGGGUGGCGAGUGGCGGACGGGUGAGGAAUACAUCGGAAUCUAUUUUUUCGUGGGGGAUAACGUAGGGACACUUACGCUAAUACCGCAUACGACCUACGGGUGAAAGCAGGGGAUCUUCGGACCUUGCGCGAUUGAAUGAGCCGAUGUCGGAUUAGCUAGUUGGCGGGGUAAAGGCCCACCAAGGCGACGAUCCGUAGCUGGUCUGAGAGGAUGAUCAGCCACACUGGAACUGAGACACGGUCCAGACUCCUACGGGAGGCAGCAGUGGGGAAUAUUGGACAAUGGGCGCAAGCCUGAUCCAGCCAUGCCGCGUGGGUGAAGAAGGCCUUCGGGUUGUAAAGCCCUUUUGUUGGGGAAGAAAAGCAGCAGGUUAAUACCCCGCUGUUCUGACGGUACCCAAAGAAUAAGCACCGGCUAACUUCGUG